CCUGAAACCCUAUAGCCCCUCUCUCUCCUUCCACGCCCAACCACAAGAGGGGACAGGCCCCUCUUACAUUAUCCAGGGGGUUGGCACCCCUUGGUCCUGCCAUAAAUGGAGGAAGGCACCAUCCAUCUUUCCAAUAGUUCCAUACUACACUAAGAGAUAAUGAGGAGAUAAUGAAAAGAUAAUGAGGAGAUAAUUUUGCCAACUCAUUGACUUAAUCCA
This 219-nucleotide long non-coding RNA is filed under the name Elaeis guineensis (African oil palm). RNAcentral's name for it is "long non-coding RNA (EGUI_LNC062446)". The record is from RNAcentral. Lineage: Eukaryota; Viridiplantae; Streptophyta; Magnoliopsida; Arecales; Arecaceae.